GACUCUCGGCAACGGAUAUCUCGGCUCUCGCCACGAUGAAGAAUGUAGCGAAAUGCGAUACUUAGUGUGAAUUGCAGAAUCCCGUGAAUCAUCGAGUCUUUGAACGCAAGUUGCGCCCGAGGCCUCGGCCAAGGGCACGUCUGCUUGGGCGUCGCACUCCAA
This 162-nucleotide ribosomal RNA is filed under the name Thuja plicata (western redcedar). Its description in RNAcentral is "5.8S ribosomal RNA". It matches the Rfam family "5.8S ribosomal RNA". From Rfam's summary of the family: 5.8S ribosomal RNA (5.8S rRNA) is a component of the large subunit of the eukaryotic ribosome. The record is from RNAcentral. Lineage: Eukaryota; Viridiplantae; Streptophyta; Pinopsida; Cupressales; Cupressaceae.